GACCGAGGGUGCAAACGUUGUUCGGAAUUACUGGGCGUAAAGCGCGUGUAGGCGGUCUCAUAAGUCGGAUGUGAAAGCCCUGGGCUCAACCCAGGAAGUGCACUCGAUACUGCGAGGCUAGAGUAUCGGAGAGGUUGGUGGAAUUCUCGGUGUAGAGGUGAAAUUCGUAGAUAUCGAGAGGAACACCGGUGGCGAAGGCGGCCAACUGGACGAAUACUGACGCUGAGACUCGAAAGCGUGGGGAGCAAACAGG
Molecule: ribosomal RNA, 253 nt
Filed under: uncultured bacterium
Lineage: Bacteria
Description: partial 16S ribosomal RNA
Rfam family: Bacterial small subunit ribosomal RNA
Source: RNAcentral